AAUUGGUGGGGGCUACACUCCAUGAAUUCCCAUUCACAUCCCAAAAUUUAAAAACUCCAUUAAAAUUUAACUUAGUCUGAAUACCAUUUUUUUUUAAUGUUUUUUCAUAAAAAUCGGAUAUGCCCUAGCUAUCAACGCAUUCCAUGAUGCAAUAUCUCACUCUUCCGACAUUUCGUCAAACACCUCUUUGCACUAUCAAGAAGAUCGCUUUAGUUCUUUAAGAACUUUCUGAUGCGGAAAUCCUCCUCUCAUGUUCUACCAUAAAAGAUGUCAUCAUAAGAUAUCAAAUCACUUCCAGUGAAGCUAUUAGAUAGGCCCAGAGAGAGAUCUAUGCGCUCAGAUCUGAGUACUGCAAUUGGUUCGGCUGAAUGAAUAGAAUCUGGGGAGGCUGGUACGACAUCGAAAGCUACUCCACCUCGAUUAAGAUAACUAGAACUCCUAAUGUCUGAAGGAGAACUUCCAAUGGUUGGAAAAGACGAAGCGCCUGUUCCUCUUUCUCCCAGAAAGCAUCCGCAUGUUUUUGCUUGAAAUGGAAGGACGGCGGCAUUGAAAUGGAAGGGCUGGAAGCUGUGUUUACCGUUGUUUGAUGAGGGGGAGAGAGGUGAGGAAAUGGGAAAAAAAACAGAGAGGAGAGGAAAGAGAAGGUGAAGGAGGGAAUGAUAAUAAAUUGGCACGCGAGGUGUUUUAUAGACUAUGAUAUUUUGUGUUUUUUGGGAUGCAAUGAAAAUCCAUUGAGUACAAUUAGCUUCCACCAAAAAAUUGGGUUAUUCUAUUUCUACAUUUCUAACCGUGGAAUUUUCCCUGUAUUUUGUUUUUAUUUUUUUUGAAAACCAAAUACUCGAAUGCCAGUUUAUUUUUGCUAUUGGUUUUUGUCGUGUCCUCUUUCUUUUGGUCAAUCUUAGCAUAUUUUCUUUUGUGUUCACUAUAAUCUAUCUAUUACUAUCUCUAAAAUUAAAUUGUAAGCCUAGGCGUGAUUUUAUGGCGAGUAGACGUUUCAAUUCUGUGCUCUCGCGUGUGGAUGUAUGUAUCUUCAUAUGGACCAUUGAAUUACUAUCACUCUCAUUUCAUCCUGACCGUUGGAUUAUUGCGUCGAUCUCCCUUGGUUCGUACAGCUGUGCCAGCGAAUGAAUAAGACAAAAAUCUAUCCUCCAUCUUAGAUUCAUGCAUCUGCCUUUUUGCAAAGCUUCUCGCGAAGCUUCUUUGGACAAAGAUCUAUCCUCAUCUUAGAUUCAUGUAUCUGGGUCGUUUCGUAGAUUUCAGGUGCGAUCUCCUCUCUUUCCCCAUCUCUGUCUUUUUUGGCUAUCGCUUCUCGGCCAAUCUUCCACCCGAGACGUAACUCUGAGCUUUCAGGGAUCUACCCUCUUUGCCACCUCCCUUAGCAAGCGAUUAGGGUUCGUUCAUCGUCAUGGUGCUUCUCAGGCUUCUAUUCGGAGGGAUCUUUCCUCUUUGCCACCUCCCUCCUUUCUUCAUCAGGGUGCUUCGCAAGCUUUUGUUCGGUUGAGCUGUCCUAAAGGUGACACUUUUUAUCUUCUCCUUAUCCAUCAAAUUCCCCUUUGCGCCGGAAAACAUAAAAAGAAAAGGGUGAAUUGCCUUUUUAGCUUUGCUUGAUCAGCUUUGAAGGCAUUUCUGCAGUUCUUGAAAUGGAGAGAACUGAGUUUAGCUUGCUAAUUUUAUAGCCUAGAUUGGCAGCAUCUACAUUGUACAUAUCCUAUGUCUGUUCCUGAGGAGCAGUGCCAGUUCCUAUUUCCUUAACCAGUUGGGAUUCAAGUCCAUCUACUGUGUCUGACCCUGCAAUUUCUAAAGGAUUUGUUGGUUGUGGAAGUCCUACAAACUUGGGUAUGAUCUUAGUUUUUUCAUUGUAGUUUUUGGUGGGACUACAGUUAAAUCUUGGUUCCCUAGCACUCCAUAAAUUAUAUGAGUGGUUGCUUAACCUCCUAUUGUCUGUUCAUCGCUGCUACAGAUGGUCUCAAGGCUUCUACUGUAAUAUUUUUUGAAAGACCUCUUAAGAAAAUGGAUGAGCUAGGCUGUAUAACUCAUUUUGAAACUUCACAAAAUUAAGAUUACUAUUACUGUGUGCACUUAUGGUUGUUUUCAAUUUUGUCCUGCAAAUUUUUUAGGUAACACCAACGGUCAAUUUUGAUAAAAUCAUGACAAAUUUCCUAAGAAUAAGAAAGAAAAUGACAUUUUCCAUGAAAAUUGUACAUCAAUGAACAAGCAUCAAGACGCUCACCAGGGUAUUCAGUGAGGUGUCAUCUCCAACGAGCAUGGUUUUUCAUCCUAUUCAGCAAACUGUUCUUCUAGUUGGAACCGGUACCGGGGACGUGGCUUUGUGGGAUAUUAAAUAUGAGGAAAAACUGGUUUCAAGAAAUUUUGACGUUUGGAACGUCAGACCAUGCUCAAUGUCAUUUGAGGUUAACAAUGAUGGAUUGGAAUUUCACGAAGGAACCAAGGAAGCUCAAGUGAGAUGAAGCUAAGACAUCUUACCUUUAAUAUUUUGAACUUAAGUCACCUUUUGGUUAUCUAUUUAUCAGUUUAUAUUGACUUGAGAUUGGCAACGAUGGAUUGGAAUUUCAGGAAGGAACCAAGGAGGCUCAAGUACCAUAGCUGAAUUGGAAGCAAGGAAGCUCAAGUGAGAUUGAAGCUCUCUUUUUUUCCUUGAUGCAUUGCGAGGUUAAAUGUGGCAGUGUUUCUGACAAUGGUUUGAUUUUGUACUCUUUUGACCGACUAUAUAUGGUUUCACUUGCAAUCAAGUAUUUACCGUUAUGAACUAAAAUCAAGUGUUAA
This is a long non-coding RNA of Tripterygium wilfordii, 2784 nucleotides long. RefSeq lists it as uncharacterized. NCBI's taxonomy places the organism in Eukaryota, Viridiplantae, Streptophyta, Magnoliopsida, Celastrales, Celastraceae. The transcript is spliced from 6 exons. The record is from RefSeq and is a predicted model, not a curated record.